CCCUUAGAUGUUCUGAACCGCACGCGUGUUACACUGAUGCAUUCAACGAGCUUUACCUUGGCCGAGAGGCCUGGGAAAUCUUUUUAGCAUGCAUCGUGAUAGGGAUUGAUUAUUGCAAUUAUUAAUCAUGAACGAGGAAUUCCUAGUAAAUGCAUUUCAUCAAAAUGCAUUGAUUACGUCCCUGCCCUUUGUACACACCGCCCGUCGCACCUACCGAUUGAGUGGUCCGGUGAAGUCUCGAGAUUGUGGCAAUCUCCUUUAUUGGAGUUUGACUGCGAGAACUUGCCUAAACCUUAUCACUUAGAGGAAGGUGAAGUCGUAACA
RNAcentral lists this ribosomal RNA (324 nucleotides) under uncultured eukaryote. Its description in RNAcentral is "partial 18S ribosomal RNA". It matches the Rfam family "Eukaryotic small subunit ribosomal RNA", at positions 1470 to 1796 of the family's 1831-position model. The record is from RNAcentral.